GACGAACGCUGGCGGCGUGCUUAACACAUGCAAGUCGAACGAAGAGCGGUGGAGGCUUGCUUCUAUCAAUCUUAGUGGCGAACGUGUGAGUAACGCGGAAACAACCUGCCCUUCAGUGGGGUACAACAGUUGGAAACGACUUCUAAUACGGCAUACUAUCUAAUCUCGUGAUCGAGUAUAGAAGAAAGGUUUCCCCUACAUGUAAGCUAUCACUGAAGCAGGGUAUUGCGUCUGAUUAGCUAGUUGGAGGGGUAACGGACCACCAAGGCGAUGAAUAAUAGCCGGACCGAGAGGAUGAACCGGCAACACGGGACCGGGACACGGCCCAGAAUCCUAAGGGAGGCAGCAGUGGGGAAUCCUCCGGAAUGGACGGAAGUCUGAACGGGCAACGCCGGGUGGGGGAUGAAGGCCUUCGGGUUGUAAAGAUCCGUUAAUCGGGAAGAAAGGAAUUCUUGAGAAUCGUGAGAAGGAUUGACGGUACCGGAACAGAAAGCCACGGCUAACUACGUG
This 510-nucleotide ribosomal RNA is filed under the name uncultured bacterium. Its description in RNAcentral is "partial 16S ribosomal RNA". It matches the Rfam family "Bacterial small subunit ribosomal RNA", at positions 28 to 507 of the family's 1533-position model. The record is from RNAcentral.